GACGAACGCUGGCGGCGUGCCUAAUACAUGCAAGUCGAGCGAUGAUUGAAGAUAGCUUGCUAUUUUCAUGAAGAGCGGCGAACGGGUGAGUAACGCGUGGGAAAUCUGCCGAGUAGCGGGGGACAACGUUUGGAAACGAACGCUAAUACCGCAUAACAAUGAGAAUCGCAUGAUUCUUAUUUGAAAGAAGCAAUUGCUUCACUACUUGAUGAUCCCGCGUUGUAUUAGCUAGUUGGUAGUGUAAAGGACUACCAAGGCGAUGAUACAUAGCCGACCUGAGAGGGUGAUCGGCCACACUGGGACUGAGACACGGCCCAG
RNAcentral lists this ribosomal RNA (318 nucleotides) under uncultured bacterium. RNAcentral's name for it is "bacterial SSU rRNA". It matches the Rfam family "Bacterial small subunit ribosomal RNA", at positions 28 to 334 of the family's 1533-position model. The record is from RNAcentral.